AUUGAACGCUGGCGGCAUGCCUUACACAUGCAAGUCGAACGGCAGCACGGGCUUCGGCCUGGUGGCGAGUGGCGAACGGGUGAGUAAUACAUCGGAACGUGCCCUGUAGUGGGGGAUAACUAGUCGAAAGAUUAGCUAAUACCGCAUACGACCUGAGGGUGAAAGCGGGGGACCGUAAGGCCUCGCGCUACAGGAGCGGCCGAUGUCUGAUUAGCUAGUUGGUGGGGUAAGAGCCUACCAAGGCGACGAUCAGUAGCUGGUCUGAGAGGACGAUCAGCCACACUGGGACUGAGACACGGCCCAGACUCCUACGGGAGGCAGCAGUGGGAAAUCUUGGACAAUGGAGGCAACCCUGAUCUAGCAAUGCCGCGUGUGUGAAGAAGGCCUUCGGGUUGUAAAGCACUUUUGUCCGGAAAGAAAUGGCUCUGGUUAAUACCUGGGGUCGAUGACGGUACCGGAAGAAUAAGCACCGGCUAACUACGUGCCAGCCGCCGCAGUAA
RNAcentral lists this ribosomal RNA (500 nucleotides) under uncultured bacterium. RNAcentral describes it as "partial 16S ribosomal RNA". It matches the Rfam family "Bacterial small subunit ribosomal RNA", at positions 30 to 523 of the family's 1533-position model. The record is from RNAcentral.